AGAGAAGACAAAGAGAGCACACAAGCUGAACAUACCCACAGGAGAGCCCCAGCGUUACUUCACUGAAGCAGAGGGCUGCCUUUGAGUGACGUCACGAGUUAGAGCAGCAAGCUGCACAGGGGAAGGGAGGCUGGUGUGCUGCUCUGGUUGGUGAAGACCAGCCUCUUUGCCCAGAUCUUCCUGAACUUGAUCUUUCUGAACUAGAUGUGAACGACUUGGAUACAGACAGCUUUCUGGGUGGACUCAAGUGGUGCAGUGACCAAUCAGAAAUAAUAUCCAAUCAGUACAACAAUGAGCCUUCAAACAUAUUUGAGAAGAUAGAUGAAGAGAAUGAGGCAAACUUGCUAGCAGUCCUCACA
RNAcentral lists this long non-coding RNA (359 nucleotides) under Homo sapiens (human). RNAcentral describes it as "non-protein coding lnc-PPARGC1A-4:3". Lineage: Eukaryota; Metazoa; Chordata; Mammalia; Primates; Hominidae. The record is from RNAcentral.